GCCGGGUGCGGUGGCACACGCCUGUAGUCCCAGCAGCACAGGAGGCUGACGCAGGAGGAUCGUGAGUUCAAAGCCAGCCUCAGCAACUUAGGGAGGCCCUAAGCAACUCAGUGAGACCCUGUCUCUA
Molecule: small RNA, 127 nt
Filed under: Marmota monax (woodchuck)
Lineage: Eukaryota; Metazoa; Chordata; Mammalia; Rodentia; Sciuridae
Source: RNAcentral